CCCUGAUCCUCUAGGGUCCUAACCCCCUCCCCCGCUCGGCUGACCCCGCAGCCCUCCCUUACCUGUGCCGGGAGGGCGGAAGCGCCCCCCCCCCGGGGCAGGCUGGGAGAUGUAGUUCCUGACCCUCCUGGGAGCGGAAGUGACGUUCGGAGGGGGGGACAGAGGACGAGAGGGGCUGCGAGGGCGCGCGGGGCGCUGCGGCUCUGCCUGGCUCGUGCGGGGCCGUUGGAGCCUCUCCUGGGGCCGCAGGAGCGUUUUGUGUCUCCCGGCUCUGGGCAUGCGCAGAUCGGGGGGGGGGUGGGAGAGAGUCGGGCAUGCGCAGAGGCAGAGCUCGCCCGCGGCUGCGCACCCGAGGCUGCGGGGCCGGGCUGCGCCGAAGGGUCUGUGCGGGGGAGACCUUCAUUCCCCCCCCCGUGCCCGGCCCGGGCCCCGCUCCCGCCGGAGCCGCCCUGGGGCCGCCCCGGGCCCUGCCCGCCCCGUUGCGGCGCUGCAGCCUCCAGGAGGGGAGAGAGGCUACAUUGUGGGUCCGGGCAAACCUCUGAGGCAAACCCUAACCGCCUGGAAGCGCAGGACCCUCCGAGGCAAAGCCGGUGCUCUGCCACAACGGGCACAGUGAAAGAAAAUGAGAUUGUUUUCUACAGCAGCAUGGCUCAAGGGCAUUGGCCAGUCUGGACUAUAUUGUCUUCUUUGCUUCUCUGUCCUAAUCUAAGGACUUUCCAAUGCUGUGUUUCGGUUGACUAAUAAACCCUGGUAUGUUUUAAA
Molecule: long non-coding RNA, 762 nt
Organism: Chelonia mydas (Green sea turtle)
Lineage: Eukaryota; Metazoa; Chordata; Testudines; Cheloniidae
Exons: 2
Source: RefSeq, a predicted model, not a curated record